This 253-nucleotide ribosomal RNA is filed under the name uncultured bacterium. Its description in RNAcentral is "partial 16S ribosomal RNA". It matches the Rfam family "Bacterial small subunit ribosomal RNA", at positions 524 to 776 of the family's 1533-position model. The record is from RNAcentral.
UACGUAGGGUGCGAGCGUUAAUCGGAAUUAUUGGGCGUAAAGGGUGCGCAGGUGGCCGCGCAAGUCGAGUGUGAAAUCCCCGAGCUUAACUUGGGAAUUGCGCUCGAAACUACGUGGCUCGAGUGUGGCAGAGGAAGGUGGAAUUCCACGUGUAGCGGUGAAAUGCGUAGAGAUGUGGAGGAACACCGAUGGCGAAGGCAGCCUUCUGGGCCAACACUGACGCUCAUGCACGAAAGCGUGGGGAGCAAACAGG